AUGAUAGAGUACCUGAAAGCAUAAGAUAUAAUGUGAGCUCACUGCUGCAAGCAAGGACAUUGCCGCACCUGCCCCAGCCCCAAGAAAUGGAUCCUGGCAAUCCCUGCAGCCCCUGAAGACUGGCAUCGUCUCCUCAAGAGCUCAUACAACGCAAAUGAUAUCUGUGAAGGACAUGUAGUUAAGAUACCCAUAUAGACAAGCUGAACUGACAUUGAGGAGAAACGGUGCAAUUAUCCAGCUGUACUGACACCAUUAGGGAACUUGUUCUGGAUCACAGGUAAGUCAGCUAAAUAUUUUGUCUUUGCAUAUUUGGGUAUAGAGCCUGUGGCCAGCAGUUGGUAUUUGGCAUGCAACUGCCUACUUUAUCCAUUUUUAUGCACCAACUAAUUUCCUUGAUGUAGGGAUUUGGGGAUGGUGAAAUAAUUUCAUAAAUUAUAAGCAAAAAAAAAUCUGUUUCAUCUGCUUCAUUCUGGAUAGCCACUGCAUAAAACCUGUCAAAAACAUAUUGCUUUGGGUUCAUCCCUGAUGCAGUUCCAUUGAUUACAGUGGAGUUAAAUCAAAGAUGAAUCUGUCUGUUCAAUUUAAAUCCAAUGAUUGGUUAAAAAGUCGGGGGGAGAGCCCUGUCUAAAUCCAGGGCAGUUUUAUCCUUGUGUCAGCAUUUAAUUCCAUUUGCAUAUAAGCCUAUUUCCCUUCUCUAAAUUUAAUUUGUUAGAGCUUGGCCCUCAGCAACAACAGCAACAACAAAGUAAUUGCAUGCAGUAUUGGGCAAUGAUGCCAACACAGCAUGUGUUAUGAAGGUGUCUCAUGCAAAUUUAUAAAAUGUAGCCAUUAGUGACAUUCUGCCUGGUAACAGGUAUCUGGAUACUUGAAAAACACUCUAAGCUUGAGCUUCAUGGACAUGUGACAUCUAAUAAUGCACAUAUGAAGAAGCUUUUUAAAAAUAUCAGCUAUUAAUGGUGUCUGUUUCACCAAAGGAAAUAAGAUAUCCAUGUCUUGUAUGACCAGCGGGAACAUUCUAGAGUUUCAUUGUGAUGAGAUAAAACUAACUGAGGCUUAGGUCUCAGACUGCACUAGAUAUUAUCUGUGACUUUGCACAAGGUACUUUUGCAGUGUGACUUAGAAAGCUUGUUUUAAACUGGGGACGAGUGGUUGGCAUUGUCAUAAUAUACCUUGUUUGUUUAGCUGCUACAUUCCACUGCAAUACUGUGUUCUCAUAUCACCUAGCCUUGAAACACAGAGCCCGAUCUUCACUGAGACCUUUCACCUGGCCAUUUUUGAAUAAAAAGACUCUUAUUGUUGAACUUGACCUGAUCAUUCCAAUUCAGCUGUUCUUCCAAAGCAGCUCCCUGGCUCCUGCACAUGCAAAACAUUUGAAUUUCCUGUUGGCUCAGAGAUAUUAAGUAACUGAAAAUCAAUAUUUGAAGGAAGGAGAGCAGCUGGGAACUUGGAGUUCAGCAUAGACAUGUUGCAUAAUAGAGAAUUCUUGUUUUCCAAGAAGCAAAGACAGGAAGAAUUAUUGUGUGGCCACUUUGCCUCCAGAUUUAAUUUUUUUUUAAUAGAAAAUAAUGGAUUCUUUUUGGGAGAACUAUCAAACAACAAAGUGUCUGGAUGUCGUAGCUGCAUUCUGUAAAUGUCUCUUUAAUUUCACCAAUGCUAAAACCUAUUUUGACCUUCUAGUAAAAGAAAAUAACCCAAAUGGCCUGUUCAAUAUACCAGAGAAAGCACAGUGUCUCCAAAAGGCCUGGCCUAAGUGAACAUCCAGAAUCCCAGCAAGCCAAGAAAUUUGAAGGCAGUCAGACUUGAUUUAAUUAUUUUUUACUACCAGUCUCAUUUGAGAGAAUGAUUAACGGGAGAAGAGACAUAAAUGGCAAAGUCUUGAUCAAAGAAGCUGCUGUCAGAGUACCAUCUAGAUAAAUUAGGAAAAGAAUGCUCAGGUUUCUGUGAAAGAAGACUAAUGACAUCAAGUCAAGAUGAAAUAGAAAGGAGCAGCAUUGCAGGCUGGAAAUCAUAAAAGAGUAGCGUGCCCUGACAAGAAGCCCUGAGAAAUUUCCCGAACUGGAAAGUAAUUGGAAUUGGAAAGGAAUUACUUUCUGUAAGUGCCGGGUCUUGAAGUUACGCAGGACUGAAGAUGACCCAGGCACUAAACUUGCUUUUUGGAACCUGUCAAGACAAGUGAAGAAAUCUUCUAGAAGCCUCUGAAGCAGCAGCUGUUAGUAUCAGCUCUACACACUGCAGGUGUUCUGCAUCUUAUAUGCUCACUCUACUCAACUAGGAUCAGUCCCUUCACUUAAAAGCUCAAACAGUCCCACCUGGAGGCAAGCAGAUAGUGGAUAAAAGGAGACUGUGAAACUAACAGCUAGUAAGCAUUUGUGUGAUUUAUAGAACUUGUUUACAGGAAUGGCAGUCUCCUGGAGAGAGCAGUGGCCCUAGCUGAAAUCAAGAGGAAAGCUUUACAAGUGAUCUGAAUGUACUUGUGUGAAGAGAGGCAUCUUAGAAGAGUUCUUGAACAGGAGGUAAUCUGACACAAAGCAUAUUUACACCAUAGAUACCUGAUGUAUUACUUCAUCAGCAAAUUCAACAAGGCCAAGAUGUCUUUAUUUUCCUUCAGAGCAAGAGCUGUAAGAGCAGUGUGGUGGAAGUAUUGGUCUUCUGUGGCCAGCCGGUGAGAACCCAUCAACAGCUGUGAUGAGCAGAGCAGACACGGGAGACAGGAGGCAGCUGAAGCCAAAGAGGACCCACGCCUGGAGCUGUGUCUGUGUGAUUGGAGCAGAGAGAGGCCAGGACCCAAGGAAAUCCCAGCAGCAAGGGAAAAAAACAGAUUGACUCUCAGUGACUCAUUUAGCUCCUGGAUUGGACAGAUCUCUCCCCUGCUGGCAAUUUGGCUGAGCAUCAAUGGACAGAUACCAGGAUGAAUAGCUUAAAAUAAUUAGGGGUUGGGAAUUUGCAAAACUGCUAGCCAUCCAAUUCUUUACUGUGCAAUGUGAGGCAGAAAAAAGAAAUUACAUUUAGGUUAUUAAAUAUUAAGUCAGUGGAUUUACUUCCAUUUGGUGCAGAACAGGAAACUGGCUAAAAUUCAACAUUUAUAUCAUUGUGUUGAUAGUCUGUUUAUCACUGAGCAAGUAAGUGCCUUUUGGCAGGUCAAGCUCUUUGACACAUGGGGCAAAUGUGUGCUUAAUUUCUCCCAAACAGAAGAAUUAAUGUAAUAAUAAUUAACACAGAUGAGAACAGAAUUAAAUUCAAGUACAGUCAGGAGUUCAGUUUAAUGCCAGGUGUCUCACAUUCUAGAUGUUCUGGGACCAGAUUUUUCCUGUUGAAGGUAGCAAGGGUGUUGCCUUUGGCACUUAUGGGAUCUGAAGUAGGCCUUGGAUGUAAAGAGACAGGAUUCCCUGUACUUUCUAUUCAGUGCACAAAACCAGAAGCAACAGGCUCAUUUAGUAUCAGUAAAGGUCAGUUAAAAUUAUAGAGACAUCCUUUGGAGCAAAUCCUCUGCCUUGUAUUUGCAUAUUUAUGAAUUAGAGAUUAUGACAGGCUAUUUCAUUUAUUAGAGCAGCACUGCUAUAGUUAAUAGUCUGUCAGUACUUCCAUUAUAAACCCUGUUUUUCAGUGUUUAAUAUCUCAGCCAUUUAAAAUCACAUCAGGAAGCAAGCUGGUCUUAUGUUGCUGGCCAGGUACGAUUUUUUGUUAUGGACUAUUUUCAAUAAUGAAAUACUGCUCAUGAUAUAUGCAGAGGAGCCACUGAAUUUCUGUUGGAGGGACAUAGCAAGGUGUGUAGAUUCACUGUGGUUUUGUUUUUCUUUAGAAAAGAAGGGAAAAGAGGGAUUUGACAAAUCAUGUAAACUGUGGCCUUAUGUUUGAAGAACAGUUUUUCAAGCAACUGCUCUCAGAGGAAACACUGGUUCUCAUUGGAAAAUCAGGUUGCUCUUUGCUUGCAAGUGGUGACCAAGGUAAACAAGUGAGAAUGGUUACCCUGUCCCUCUGAUAUUUCUUGUCUACCAACCAUGGGUGAAGCACCCUAGGCAAGAAAGCAGUGAACAUAAAAUAAAAGCCUUCAGAAAUAACAGGAGUCACAAUUACAAAUUCAGAAAUCUGGCCUCUUUUUAAGUGUCUGCCAGCAGCAAAGUGCAGUAGUGUCCUGACUUUAUUGCUGAGAUUUGGGGUAGAGGGUUGCUAAGGCUUAAGGGGCAGUUAUGAAGCACUUUGUACGUGUCCUAAACUGAACAGUGUCAUUUAUUUCAGGAGUCUCACAUCUCUCUCCUUCCAAACAGCCCCACUUUGCUUUCAUAGAAGUGUUACUUCACUAAAAAGUAACUGCCUGGCAAGGGAAAAUGUUCAGACUAAAAUACCAAUUUUUAACUUGCUAGGGCAGGAAAAAUUUACUCUUCAGAGUAGCUGAAAGAAGCUGCUUUUGCACUAUAACCUUUUGCCCUGUGAAAAGAGAAACAGCCCAAACAUAAGCUCCUUGGGAGUGGUUUGUUUUCAAGGUCUUGAAAAUCAUUUGCUGCCUCAGUAACUGACAAGUUAGAAAUCAAAUUCAUGAAGAGAAAAAAAAUGAGGCUAUGUGCAAGAUAUCUUUAGCUCUUUUGCCUCACAAACACAGUUGGAGGUGGGAACAUAGUCCAUAUUUUCCAUCUUUCUCGCCAUAAAGGCCUAUGUGCACAACUGAGGGUUCCAGGGAAACUAGCAAUGACAGGCCAGAAGCACUCUGAAACAUGAUCAAUCCACUUGGUGCAUUGCAGCUAAUCAAACUAUGCCCUAGGCAAGGCCCAGGGCUUGGCCUCUGUGUCACCUUCUGUAAAUUUUGACUGAAUUAAGAUUAACAAUAAGUUUAGAAGUUACAUUACACAAACAUUUUUUUAAGCAUAUGUAAGACAAGAUUGCAACAAAAGGUCUCUGAUCUUAAAUCCCCCAAAUCCAAAUGGUGAGGCAGACUUUUCAUCCAGUCUCUCAUCAACAUCAUGAGAACCAAGAGACCAAAUCAAGACACUCCACUCAGGCUUAUGGAAAAUCUGUUCCAGAUCCAAGUGGCAAGGGCUAAUCAGUAGUGCUUUCUUAAAACAACAGUAUUUGGGAUAUUUUGUAACUAAUUGCUAACUAAAAGUGCAUUUUCCAGACUCCUUCCAGAGUUGCCAUUGUAAAGAACAAUCUUCUUUCCCUAGGCACAUCACAGUGGCUUUUCAGCCAAAAAUUAUCUUUGGUCAUGAUAAGUGAUAAUAACUCAGAAGGAGGCAGACUACAGAAAUUCUAAUUAUUUUGAAUACAAAAUUACUUCAGCAGUUUUUUAAAAAAGGUAUAAUUCAAAGUAAGGGGAGAGGGUUUUUUUGCCAAACAUGUAGAAAAUGUCAUACAUUUUAAAAUAAAGUACUACAUGCUCUUUGCUGGAAACUCUGUCCAGGCUCAGUAAGCUAUCUGGACAGCAUUGUUUACUAGAUAUAUUUGCUAUUCUUUGUCUUAAUUUGCAGUGACAUAAAAUCUUGCUCAACUGACUUGAGUAAAUCUUUGAAUGCUAAAAAUACUAAUCAUUAUGUAAUUAGUCGACAGGAUGUGUGUAAUUCUGCAAUACCAGCAUUCCUGGGUGUGGUUAAGUACAUAGGUAGAAUGCCAACAGUCAUCUAGAUGUAGUAUUAUAAAAUUACACAACAACAUACACCCUGGGUAGAUGCUGUAAUUAUAUUUUACAUUUAUACAAUAGCUACAUUAGUAAAAUGGAACUUGUUAUUUUUAAAAAUAAUAUCUUCCCACAGGCAUGGAUCAUAGUAGGUGAUGGUAAUAAUAUUGCCCAAAUACAGUAUCUUCCAUCUUCCGAGGGACUCAGUCGUCUUCAUAAACAUACAAAUAGGAGACAGAAACCAGGCAUAAAGAGCCCUUCAUUCACUCAUGCCAUAAAACCACCCCAAAACACAUGAUAAUUGCUGAGUCAUGCACUGGAAUAAUUGAAGGCAGAGAACCAACAGGAAGGAAUUUCCAUCUCAUGAGAAUCACAUGAGAUUAACCAGAAAUGUGACUAGAACUGUUAUAUUUUUAUGACUUACCAGACAUCAGGACAAUCCUUAAACCAUGGUGAAAGCAGAUCCACACAGUGAGUCAGAUUCUUUGAAUCUAGCCAGGAAGACCUAUGUUACAGCCAUCAAAUGUCUUGAGCAUUUGAGUUAAUUCUGAUCUCUGCUAAGAUUUACUGUGAAUGUGGUGUGAAAAUCUGCUGCACUCCCAGCCAAAACCUCCCUGCUUGGACAUCCCUCAUUCUACCUGUGGUACAGCGGCAGUGACUGACAGGUAUGCAUGUCACUGGGGCCAGCACUACAGAGAUGGUAACUUAUGCAGUAUAAACAGAAAACAUGGCACACCAGUAUUUACUCUCUUUUGAUAUUGUUUCAAAAUAGAGAAAUACAGAAGAAUGGAAAGGUGAAAAUUCCAACACCAAAAAAAAAAAACAACAAACCAAAGAACCCUAUGCUGUGACUCAUCAUUAAGGUAAAAUGUCAGAGCCUAAAGCUCUGCUUUUUUCAUGUGCCUGGCUGCAGAAGGGUGAGGUGCCCUCUGAGGAUGAUUUUAUCUUUUGCUUUUGAGUCUGAAGACCUUGGAUGUGGUUUGGCAAGUUCAUAAAAAUACUGUGAUGAAGUUGAGUUGCCAUCUGGAAAUGAUACAUACAGAGAUGUAAGAAAGCUUGAGGAGAAAACUGCAGAUGCUGGAAGAAGAAUCAGCGGUGCACAUGAAUGAGGUUAAAAAUUGCAGACAAUUAGCUACAAGAUGACUCCUACUAAAUAAAUCAUCAAAGACUUGACUACUGCUUCCAGGUUUCUGCUGCGAUAUUAGCUCAUUGGAACAGUCAAAAAGAUGUUAAUUUGGCCAAAGUUUUAGAAAUGUGCUAUUCUUGUUUGAAUUAACAAAUCAACAAACAAGGCCAAUCUCUACUGUCUUGCCAAGGCUAUAAAGCUUCUAGGGAAACUAUUAUAUUUAAUGCUCAGGAUCAAGGGCCCCAUGAUGCAAAAUAAGCCUCUUUGUGUUAAAUGAAAGCUGCACAGGAAAGAAAACAUGAGCUUAUCAUGGAAUUUCACAUCUCGUUUCAGCAUUCAAUAAAGCGCUUUGGAUGU
Molecule: non-coding RNA, 7088 nt
Organism: Lonchura striata (white-rumped munia)
Lineage: Eukaryota; Metazoa; Chordata; Aves; Passeriformes; Estrildidae
Source: RefSeq, a predicted model, not a curated record